This 1016-nucleotide long non-coding RNA is filed under the name Arabidopsis lyrata. RNAcentral's name for it is "long non-coding RNA (ALYR_LNC001724)". The record is from RNAcentral. Lineage: Eukaryota; Viridiplantae; Streptophyta; Magnoliopsida; Brassicales; Brassicaceae.
CUUAAACUCUCUUAGAUAAGAUUCAUUAUACAUGAUAUACUUACAUAUAUGUAUGCUUCUUACUUUUAACCUAUGGUUUUGUAAUCUAACCAACCAAUUAACACUUAUGGGAUAAAGAGAUUAGAGGCCCAAACUCAUAUAAUGCAUUAUACUAAACCAUUUUUCUUCUCUCUUAAUGACAAGAAAAAUCUUCCUCUCUCUUGUUCAUUACUCUUCUCGUCUUCAUUACUCUUUUCUCAAUCUCGGUUCAUGUUUACCAAUUUGAUGAUUAAUCGAAGAUUGGAUUCCAACAAGAUAGAGCAGAACGAAAAAUCCAGCACCAAAACAAAAAUCAAGAACAUCAGAGUUAGUCCUCUUUAAGAGAAAGAACAUAAAGACACUCAUAAAACUAAAUGAACUAUAAAUUUUUUAAGAAGCCAUAAUUUAAGGACCAACAUACCUAAACAUGGACUUGAUAGGGCAGAGAAUAGAGGCAAAUUAAUAGCCAAGUUUGCACAGUAAUAAUAAAUCAAUAUAACAAAACUAUGGCUUGAUGAUGAUGAUGAUGAUGAUGAUGAUGAGAAUGAUCAUAUGAUUUGCAUCUUGAGCUUGGUAUGAAGCUGUGGGAAGUUCAACAAAUCCUCUCUGAAUUGCACCUUUCUAGCUGAUCCCAUCAAACUGAUCUUCAUAUGUGCAACGAAACAGACCCUGAAGUAUUAAUAUGCAAGUCAUGUGAUCAUGAUCAUCGUCAUCAUCACAUCAUCAUUAACAUGAUAUUUGAGCUCUAUCACUAAUAACACAUAUCAAGAACCUGUAUACCAAAACUAUGUAAAAUACAACAUGUAUCACUUGAAGAAAUUGGAAUAUUCCAACAACCUAGAUAAAGCUCAAAAUUGACCCCACAAAACCUAAGAUGAUGAGAUGUUUCACACGGACAAAUAGAUACAGUUUCCAUAUUGGGAAAAUUACAAUAGAAGGCAAACAAUAGAAGGGUAAAGGUCAAAGCCUUAAGGUUUAGUUUUGAGUUUUUUCUUUUU